This 253-nucleotide ribosomal RNA is filed under the name uncultured bacterium. Its description in RNAcentral is "partial 16S ribosomal RNA". It matches the Rfam family "Bacterial small subunit ribosomal RNA", at positions 524 to 776 of the family's 1533-position model. The record is from RNAcentral.
UACGUAGGGGGCAAGCGUUGUCCGGAAUUAUUGGGCGUAAAGAGCGUGUAGGCGGUCCGGUAAGUCAGCUGUGAAAGUCAAGGGCUCAACCCUUGAAUGCCGGUUGAUACUGUCGGGCUAGAGUCCGGAAGAGGCGAGUGGAAUUCCCGGUGUAGCGGUGAAAUGCGCAGAUAUCGGGAAGAACACCCGUGGCGAAGGCGGUUCUCUGGGACGGUACUGACGCUGAGACGCGAAAGCGUGGGGAGCGAACAGG